UUAUACAGCGAAACUGCGAAUGGCUCAUUAAAUCAGUUAUCGUCUAUUUGAUAGUACCUUACUACUUGGAUAACCGUGGUAAUUCUAGAGCUAAUACAUGCUGAAAACCCCGACUUCGGAAGGGAUGUAUUUAUUAGAUUAAAAACCAAUGCCCUCCGGGGCUCACUGGUGAUUCAUAAUAACUGCUCGAAUCGCACGGCCUUGCGCCGGCGAUGGUUCAUUCAAAUCUCUGCCCUAUCAACUUUCGACGGCUGGGUCUUGGCCAGCCAUGGUGACAACGGGUAACGGAGGGUUAGGGCUCGACCCCGGAGAAGGAGCCUGAGAAACGGCUACUACAUCCAAGGAAGGCAGCAGGCGCGCAAAUUACCCAAUCCCGACUCGGGGAGGUAGUGACAAUAAAUACUGAUACAGGGCUCUUUUGGGUCUUGUAAUUGGAAUGAGUACAAUUUAAUUCCCUUAACGAGGAACAAUUGGAGGGCAAGUCUGGUGCCAGCAGCCGCGGUAAUUCCAGCUCCAAUAGCGUAUAUUAAAGUUGUUGCAGUUAAAAAGCUCGUAGUUGAACCUUGGGCCUGGCUGGCCGGUCCGCCUCACCGCGUGCACUGGUCCGGCCGGGCCUUUCCCUCUGGGGAGCCGCAUGCCCUUCACUGGGCGUGUCGGGAAACCAGGACUUUUACUUUGAAAAAAUUAGAGUGUUCAAAGCAGGCUUAUGCUCGGAUACAUUAGCAUGGAAUAAUAGAAUAGGACGUGCGGUUCUAUUUUGUUGGUUUCUAGGACCGCCGUAAUGAUUAAUAGGGACAGUCGGGGGCAUCAGUAUUCAGUUGUCAGAGGUGAAA
This 833-nucleotide ribosomal RNA is filed under the name Leptographium terebrantis. RNAcentral's name for it is "SSU rRNA". It matches the Rfam family "Eukaryotic small subunit ribosomal RNA", at positions 74 to 916 of the family's 1831-position model. Lineage: Eukaryota; Fungi; Ascomycota; Sordariomycetes; Ophiostomatales; Ophiostomataceae. The record is from RNAcentral.